CAGUAGCCGCGGUAAUACGUAGGUGGCAAGCGUUGUCCGGAUUUAUUGGGCGUAAAGCGAGCGCAGGCGGUCAAUUAAGUCUGAUGUGAAAGCCCCCGGCUCAACCGGGGAGGGUCAUUGGAAACUGGUUGACUUGAGUGCAGAAGAGGAGAGUGGAAUUCCAUGUGUAGCGGUGAAAUGCGUAGAUAUAUGGAGGAACACCAGUGGCGAAGGCGACUCUCUGGUCUGUAACUGACGCUGAGGCUCGAAAGCGUGGGUAGCAAACAGGAUUAGAUACCCGGGUAGUCCCUGUCUCUUAUAC
Molecule: ribosomal RNA, 301 nt
Filed under: uncultured bacterium
Lineage: Bacteria
Description: partial 16S ribosomal RNA
Rfam family: Bacterial small subunit ribosomal RNA
Source: RNAcentral